AAAAAAAAAAAAAACUAAGCUACAUACGAGGAAUUAAAGAUGGUUGUAGGUAUCCGUGAUGAUGCAUGUUACCCUCUCUCAGAACUUUCAUUAGCUUAAAAAUUCAUUGACGGAAAAUCAGUUUGUUUUGGUUAUUUCUAUUGCAAAAACUGCACAUUGCUUUAACUUCCAAAAAAUACACAAUCUCACCUUUCAGUACUAAGGCAGUGGUUUUUUUGACAUCUGAAAUCUAAGGUGGACAAAAAAUAAGGACAGGA
This 257-nucleotide unclassified non-coding RNA is filed under the name Hevea brasiliensis (rubber tree). Lineage: Eukaryota; Viridiplantae; Streptophyta; Magnoliopsida; Malpighiales; Euphorbiaceae. The record is from RNAcentral.